Neltuma alba is the source of this 659-nucleotide long non-coding RNA. RefSeq lists it as uncharacterized. NCBI's taxonomy places the organism in Eukaryota, Viridiplantae, Streptophyta, Magnoliopsida, Fabales, Fabaceae. The record is from RefSeq and is a predicted model, not a curated record. The transcript is spliced from 3 exons.
GAGCGGCGCUUAGGUCCUUUUACUGCUGCUGACUUCACAGAUCUAUAUAUGAAUAUUCUUUUCCAGCAGCUCAUGACUUCAUGCUUGGAUUAAAAAUGGUAUCUUUUUUCACUCUCUCGUCCAGAUCUAUCCCUCUAAAUCUAGACUCAGAAGCAGCUCUCAUAUUUUGGUUUUAAUUAGGCAGAGAAACACAGUGAAUCUGGGGCUCUGGGUUCUAUGUAUAUUAUAUGGCUGGAAAUUGGAGACAUUCUGGCAAGUGGGUGAUAUAUAUACAUGAAGGAGAUCAUUGAAACUGAAGCAGGUUUCGGAACUUGGAUUAUGCAAAAAAUGAGGAGCAUUUUGUUUUGCUUCUAUGGGGAAGGAGGCCUUGGACUUUGGCUUUAAUGAGAAAUCUGUGUGUUGCUGGUGGACCAACCGAAGCAGGUUGCUGGACACCUUUCGAGUUGGGGUUGGAGCAGCGUGGCGACGGAUGGAAAGUGGUGGUGCUCGGCCUGGUCGUAGUACAGAUGACGUGUGUACUGUGUUUGAGGGUAUUCAUUUUGAUGGAUCCAUAUUAUAUGCAGUUUUAUAUGAUAUAGCAUAUUUGUUUUUUAAUGUAAGAUUUAAUUGACUAAUUUAAAAAGAUUAAUAAAGUUACAAAAUACUCAUGCAUUACUUCU